CCGUGCCCGCGGGGGCCGGCGGUUCUCGCCGUCGGUGCCCGCACAAGGCCCACCCGUGUCUACUUUACCUGUUGCUUCGGCGGGCGUCCGGGCAGCGCUGCUCGCGGUGUCCGCCGAAGGUACCCUUAAACCCUGGUUAACGUGGCGGUCUCAGUCAACUGGAUAAUCAGUA
RNAcentral lists this unclassified non-coding RNA (172 nucleotides) under soil metagenome. Its description in RNAcentral is "partial internal transcribed spacer 1". The record is from RNAcentral.